CUGCUAUGAAUAUUUGUGUGUGAGCCUUUCAUUUCUCUUGGAUACCUUGGACUGGAAAGUGGAAAAGCUGCCAACCUGGAAACACCACUGGACACAGAACGACAACAAGAGUCUAAGAAAAGUUUUCCCUCUAGCCACAAGACUAGGAAAGGGGCAACCCUGACAAACCAAACACUUUUAGAUAAUUGACACUCUACUCUCACCACACAUUACAGAAAAAAAGUAGAGGCCCCAUCCAUACCCCCACCAGCAAAUAUAGAAUGCAGAGCACAGGUUUCCACACUUGCAUCUCAACCCUUCCUCCCCUACCAGAGUGCUGUCAGAGAGGGCCUACAGGAAGCCAGCCCUCCCCUCCCAUCAGUGUCACUGGAGACCACACAGGGAGCCUAGACUUCCAUCUUCACUCAGCUAGUGUUGAUAAGGCAACCCUCCGCCUCCCUGCUGGGGUGGUGGCAGAAGCAGCCUGGAUGAGAAUCAGAACUUUCACCAUUGCUCAGUGGCAUUGAAGGCCACCACAUACGGCUUUAGUGGAUGCCACAUGAGCAGUGACAAGAUGCCCCACUCCUUCACAGGCAGUGGCACACGAGUGUAGGCCUUGUGGGAGCUGGCACUCUCACUAAUACCCCACAGUAAAGAGGAGCUACCCCCUCAGGUGUCAAUGGAGGUCAAGCAGUAAACCUGGGCAUUUACCCACUUGCCAGUAAAAACGUACCCACUGGAACUUCUCCUUCCCCUGCCAGAGCAAUGUCAAAGAAAGCUAGUUAAAACAGAAAGUUUAAAUAAGAUCCAGAGUCUCCUAAUAUAAUCACCAAAAUGUCUAUCAAUUUUAAAUGUAUAUAUUAUACAAAGAACAAGGAAUACUUCAACAGCAAAAUGAAGAGGAGAGGGGAAAGAAUCAGUGAACUUGAGAACAGAACAAGAGAAAUACCCAAACUGAACAAUAGAGAGAAAAUAGAUUUCAAAUAAAUAAAUGAAUCUUCAAAGACAUGAGUAUAGGGAAAAAACACAAUACCAUCAAACAAUAGAAAGUAAAAAAUAAAAAAAAAAAAUUGAAAGCAGCCAAAGAGAAAUGAUGCAUUAUAUUUAGGAAAAAACAAUUAGAAUGACAGCAAAUGUCAUGUCAGAAACCAUGGAGAUGAGGGGAAAGUGAUACAACAUGUUUCUAGCACAGACAAAAGAAUUGUCAGUCCAGAAUUCUGUAUCCAGUGAAAAUAUUCUUCUGAGUGAAGGGAAAAUCAUUCUCAUAUGAAGAAAAAUUAAGAGAAUUUGUUGUUAACAGAAGUUUUGAAAACAGAAGGAAAAUGAUAAAUGAGGAAUGUAGGAAAUCGACGAAGAAUAAAAAAAUAAAAAUACAAAUAUGAGUAAAUACA
Cercocebus atys (sooty mangabey) is the source of this 1370-nucleotide long non-coding RNA. RefSeq lists it as uncharacterized. The transcript is spliced from 2 exons. The record is from RefSeq and is a predicted model, not a curated record. NCBI's taxonomy places the organism in Eukaryota, Metazoa, Chordata, Mammalia, Primates, Cercopithecidae.